Molecule: ribosomal RNA, 326 nt
Filed under: Afroptera aequabilis
Lineage: Eukaryota; Metazoa; Arthropoda; Insecta; Neuroptera; Nemopteridae
Description: partial large subunit ribosomal RNA
Source: RNAcentral
ACUGUGCAAAGGUAGCAUAAUCAUUUGUCUCUUAAUUGGAGGCUGGUAUGAAUGAUUGGACGAGGUAGAAGCUGUCUCAUUAUUAUAAUUAUAAUAAUUUAGCUUUUUAGUUAAAAGGCUAAAAUUUUUUUGGAGGACGAGAAGACCCUAUAGAUCUUUAUAAUAUUUAAUUUACUUUUAUUUUGGUUAUAAAUUUUUUAGUAUAUUAUAAAUUAUUUUGUUGGGGUGACAUGAAAAUUUAUUUAACUUUUCAUUUAUUUAAACACGAAUUAGUGAAUAUUUGAUCCAUUUUUAGUGAUUACAAGAAUAAGUUACCUUAGGGAUAA